This 1004-nucleotide ribosomal RNA is filed under the name Neonectria lugdunensis. RNAcentral describes it as "SSU rRNA". It matches the Rfam family "Eukaryotic small subunit ribosomal RNA", at positions 91 to 1107 of the family's 1831-position model. Lineage: Eukaryota; Fungi; Ascomycota; Sordariomycetes; Hypocreales; Nectriaceae. The record is from RNAcentral.
GGGCUCAUUAUAUAAGUUAUGGUUUAUUUGAUAGUACCUUACUACUUGGAUAACCGGUGGUAAUUCUAGAGCUAAUACAUGCUAAAAAUCCCGACUUCGGAAGGGAUGUAUUUAUUAGAUUAAAAACCAAUGCCCUUCGGGGCUCCUUGGUGAUUCAUGAUAACUCCUCGAAUCGCAUGGCCUUGUGCCGGCGAUGGUUCAUUCAAAUUUCUUCCCUAUCAACUUUCGAUGUUUGGGUAUUGGCCAAACAUGGUUGCAACGGGUAACGGAGGGUUAGGGCUCGACCCCGGAGAAGGAGCCUGAGAAACGGCUACUACAUCCAAGGAAGGCAGCAGGCGCGCAAAUUACCCAAUCCCGACACGGGGAGGUAGUGACAAUAAAUACUGAUACAGGGCUCUUUUGGGUCUUGUAAUUGGAAUGAGUACAAUUUAAAUCCCUUAACGAGGAACAAUUGGAGGGCAAGUCUGGUGCCAGCAGCCGCGGUAAUUCCAGCUCCAAUAGCGUAUAUUAAAGUUGUUGUGGUUAAAAAGCUCGUAGUUGAACCUUGGGCCUGGCUGGCCGGUCCGCCUCACCGCGUGUACUGGUCCGGCCGGGCCUUUCCCUCUGUGGAACCCCAUGCCCUUCACUGGGUGUGGCGGGGAAACAGGACUUUUACUUUGAAAAAAUUAGAGUGCUCCAGGCAGGCCUAUGCUCGAAUACAUUAGCAUGGAAUAAUAGAAUAGGACGUGUGGUUCUAUUUUGUUGGUUUCUAGGACCGCCGUAAUGAUUAAUAGGGACAGUCGGGGGCAUCAGUAUUCAAUUGUCAGAGGUGAAAUUCUUGGAUUUAUUGAAGACUAACUACUGCGAAAGCAUUUGCCAAGGAUGUUUUCAUUAAUCAGGAACGAAAGUUAGGGGAUCGAAGACGAUCAGAUACCGUCGUAGUCUUAACCAUAAACUAUGCCGACUAGGGAUCGGACGAUGUUAUUUUUUGACUCGUUCGGCACCUUACGAGAAAUCAAAGUGCU